GAUGAAGAACGCAGCGAAAUGCGAUAAGUAAUGUGAAUUGCAGAAUUCAGUGAAUCAUCGAGUCUUUGAACGCACAUUGCGCCCCCUGGUAUUCCGGGGGGCAUGCCUGUCCGAGCGUCAUUGCUGCCCUCAAGCACGGCUUGUGUGUUGGGCCGUCGUCCCCCUCCUAGGGGACGGGCCCGAAAGGCAGCGGCGGCACCGCGUCCGGUCCUCGAGCGUAUGGGGCUUCGUCACACGCUCCGUAGGCCCGGCCGGCGCUUGCCGACGACCAUCAAUCUCUUUCUCCAGGUUGACCUCGGAUCAGGUAGGGAUACCCGCUGAACUUAAGCAUAUCAAUAAGCGGAGGA
RNAcentral lists this unclassified non-coding RNA (347 nucleotides) under soil metagenome. RNAcentral's name for it is "partial contains 5.8S ribosomal RNA, internal transcribed spacer 2, and large subunit ribosomal RNA". The stretch from base 1 to 120 matches the Rfam family "5.8S ribosomal RNA", at positions 35 to 154 of the family's 154-position model. The record is from RNAcentral.